GUGCUCAGCCGCCGCGGUAAUACGGAGGGUGCAAGCGUUAAUCGGAAUUACUGGGCGUAAAGCGCACGCAGGCGGCUUUUUAAGUCGGAUGUGAAAGCCCCGGGCUCAACCUGGGAAUUGCAUCUGAUACUGGGAAGCUAGAGUAUGUGAGAGGGGGGUAGAAUUCCAAGUGUAGCGGUGAAAUGCGUAGAGAUUUGGAGGAAUACCAGUGGCGAAGGCGGCCCCCUGGCACAAUACUGACGCUCAGGUGCGAAAGCGUGGGGAGCAAACAGGAUUAGAUACCCUGGUAGUCCACGCCGUAAACGAUGUCUACUAGAUGUUCGUGGUCUUGUACCGUGAGUAUCGCAGCUAACGCAUUAAGUAGACCGCCUGGGGAGUACGGUCGCAAGAUUAAAACUCAAAUGAAUUGACGGGA
Molecule: ribosomal RNA, 415 nt
Filed under: uncultured Gammaproteobacteria bacterium
Lineage: Bacteria; Pseudomonadati; Pseudomonadota; Gammaproteobacteria
Description: bacterial SSU rRNA
Rfam family: Bacterial small subunit ribosomal RNA
Source: RNAcentral